AUUUCUUGUGCUUUUACAAUUUGAUUAUGUGUUGUGAGUUGUAACUUUUGAGUUCUUUCCUAUCUUUAGGUUUCAUCGUAGGUCACUUUAUUGAGAUUUAUUCAUCUUAAGGUUUCAUGCGAACUGAAGAAAGGGGCAAAAUAAUUUGUUUCUUUGCCCCAGAUUGACCCUAAAAUCUGGAGAAUAAAAUCUAAAUUGCUGUUAA
RNAcentral lists this long non-coding RNA (205 nucleotides) under Nicotiana benthamiana. RNAcentral's name for it is "long non-coding RNA (NBEN_LNC001111)". Lineage: Eukaryota; Viridiplantae; Streptophyta; Magnoliopsida; Solanales; Solanaceae. The record is from RNAcentral.